Heterocephalus glaber (naked mole-rat) is the source of this 3163-nucleotide non-coding RNA. Lineage: Eukaryota; Metazoa; Chordata; Mammalia; Rodentia; Bathyergidae. The record is from RefSeq and is a predicted model, not a curated record.
CCAACACCUUUACUUCUUGGCUAAGAGUCACACUGGUAAACACUGUUGUUAAGUAAUAAUCAGUGUUACUGCUGUGGAUCCAUUGUAAGUUCAACACUUUUUCCCAUAAGAAAAAUAUGCAAUUAUUAUCAUAAAUGAACACUAACUGACUUAAUUGAAGGAAAGGUGGGGCGGGGGACUCAAAACUCAGGUUCUAUCUCCACUCUCUUGUGCACGUCAGAAUGGGCACUGCCACUGAGGCACUGUGCCAUGGUUGUUGGUGAGGACUUGUCACGGUUCUUGUUUUGGUUCGGGCCAUUUACGAGUUUCCAGUUGUCUUAGUCACUUUCCUUGUUGCUUGGACAAAAUACCCAACACCUGCAACUUAAAGGAGGAGAGAUUUAUUUUGGCUCGAGGUUGUAGAGGUUUCAGUCCACAGUCAGCUGGCUCCAAGGCAGAGCGGCAUGGCAGAGACACAUAACAGAGGAGGGACUGUAUGGUGGUGGGGAAGCACAAGAGAGAGGGAAGUGAGGAGCAGGGAAGAGCCAGACCCUUCCAGGCCAUGUCUCCAUUGGCCUACCAGAUCCCACCUCCCCACAGGAAGUCAGCUAUAAUCAGUGGACUAAUCCACUGAUGAGCAUCCCACCCCCACGAUCCAAGCACCUUCCCCAAACCCCACUCAUGAGGCUGUGGAGCCACAUCUCAAUCGCAACCACAACACUUGGAUGUUGCGAACAGGUAGGAAAUAUAAUCAAAGAGGCUAACUAUGGCCCCCCAUGAACCUGGACUUAAUAUGAAACAUCAUGAUGAGUAAUACCUGGUAAACAUUGAGAUCGAAAAACAGAUCAAAUUCUGGUGGCAAAUGAUCUACAGAAAGAUGUCAGGAAUAUCAUAGGUCUUGUUUUGUUUUUGCCCCAAAUGAUAUAUAUUGUUUUAGUAUGAAGCAGUGAAUUAAUGAAUAAAUAGCAAACAAAGUAUUACUGAAGAGAAAGGUUCAUCAUCGUGGGUGAGUGGUAAUGAGGGUUGGCUGUGAGUCGGGGUGAGCAAGGCUGUAUUUCAGGAAGGUACAGCUGUAGCACAAAAGAAACCUAGGCUAUUAUUCUGUCGGAAACAACCUCUGUAGCCAGUUGUAAAAUACCCACUUACCUAUUCUUGUACUUGUAUGGUUUAUGGAUGAUUAUAUUAUUACAAGGGACUUAGUACCUAAAGAGCUCAAGAAACAGGAUUAAGUGAAUAAGAACAUGACCAUGCCCGGCCCAACCAUAACACAUUUAAAGAGACAAGUUGUUAGAGUAAUCUGAUUUUCAUGAGUUGACAUUUGUGUUUUUGUUGUUUUUAAUUUCUCAGAAUGAGGAACAUGUAGACAGGUGUGUGAAUCCUCACUGUUCAUAUUUUGGUUGUCUUUGGUUGGCUGGUUAUGUUAUUACUAAAUAGGGAAGUCAUUUACAUGAUAAAAGACUAAACAUUAUUGAAAUUAAAGGUGGUCAGUGACAAAAAUUUGUUAGAUAACAAGAAUGAUUAUGCUCACUAAAUUUCCUUACAAAGUGACAUUGUCUGUUAUCACCUCAGUAAGAAGCGCUGUACAUGCGGUACCAUUGUCUGUGCUAUUGUCUUCCGUAUGUAAAAGACCCUGAUUUUUACCUUCACAGUGCACAAAUGAGUAAGUGUAAUAAUCAGAAAGCUAAAAGGAAGACAAUAUGGGGGAUAAUGAGCAUGUGUUGAAGUAAUGUUUCUGAUUUAACCAGUUCCUGAGAUUAUUUUCUUUUUCAGACAAAAUUUUGGCUCUUACAAGGUUUUUGAUAAGAAUGCAGAGAUUUAUGCACAAUCAUUCAUGUCUCAGGUUUCUCGGAGUUUAAACAUCAUUUUACCUCUUCAAAAAGCAUAAAUUGUGCUCGCUUCGGCAGCACAUAUACUAAAAAAGCAUAAAUUGAUGGCCAAAUUAUUUCAUCCAUGGAUGAAUAAAACAAUAGGACGAGAUAUUGUUCAUUGGCACAAAAUUUCUUUGAAGCAAUCAUUGAGAUGAAUGCAGUUCUGCACAUGCAGGGUCGAGAGAGCUAAGUGGUUGUGUGUAUGGUGGAGGGGUUGGAGCUGGAGGAUUCAGACUCUGCUUGGUUGUGAUUGAGAUGAGUGGAUUCAAAUGUGUCCCACUUUUAAUGCAAAACUGAUAACUGGGUAAGUUCGACAAAAAAGCGGGGGCUGCUUUUUGGCCAGCUGCAAAUGGGUAUGACUGAAAAUUUACAAUUCAUGUAAAUCCACUUACCUUGCAGUCACUAGACUGUGAAAGUGAAAAUGCAGUCUGUUGGAUUAUUCCUUUGAACGCUUUGUACUCUCCAGACUGGACCCUGGUGACUAACAUCUUGGCUUGUGAGCCCUUGGCUACAAAGCAGAGAGACCCAUGAUCCGUGCACCAUAGCUGAUUAAAUUAUUCUCCAAUCAUGAAGAUCUUUGCCUUGUCCCUCUGGAUCAUCUUUAAAAAGAAUAAGUGACUCAAUGUGAUCAUAAGAUGAAACAAGGGCAAUCGAACUCAGGACCCUGCGCUUGCAAGGCAGGUGGUGGAACCACUGAGCUAAAUCCCCAGCCCACCGUGAAAGAAACACUUAAUGUUUUGUAUCCUUGUUUUAAUAGGAGAUAGUAUAGAGUACCAUGCUAGUAUGAAAUUUUUUGCUUGGUAUUUUCAUGGAUUAUUACAUGGAUUAUUAUUUUUCUGUCUCAGACACUAGUUGUACUGAGCUUAUUUAUUUGCAGGUAAGAGGCUUUUGUAUCCUAUUUUAAAUUUUUAAAAAAAUUUUCUGGCACUUGGUAUCAGAGAGAAUGCUAAAAUAACUGAUUUUACAGGAUUAAUUUCAGCUCAACAGCUAUUGUCUUGAAUCCUUGUCAGAUCCUGUGUCAGGCAUGGAGUUCACGUAUGCAUCUAAUCCUGUCUUCAAGUAGCUCUAGCGGAUAAGACAGAGACCUGCUUACAAAGCCAACAAUUCAGUAUUGUGGAUGUGCUUUCCAGAAGUGCAGAAAGAGCCCUAUUGCCUGAGUUUUAAGUUCCGGAUGCUUUGUGGAAGAGAUGAAUCUUGAGCCAAUAACAAAAGCACUAGGCUGACCUGAAUCACUACCAUGCCCUUUGUGCCCCAUACAUAGAGCACACUCAAUAACAUUUGUAGAAUGAGUAGAAGAAUAAAAGAAGACUAAAUGA